RNAcentral lists this ribosomal RNA (425 nucleotides) under uncultured bacterium. RNAcentral describes it as "partial 16S ribosomal RNA". It matches the Rfam family "Bacterial small subunit ribosomal RNA", at positions 354 to 796 of the family's 1533-position model. The record is from RNAcentral.
GUGGGGAAUAUUGGGCAAUGGGCGAAAGCCUGACCCUGCAACGCCGCGUGAGUGAAGAAGUAUUUCGGUAUGUAAAGCUCUAUCAGCAGGGAAGAUAAUGACAGUACCUGACUAAGAAGCCCCGGCUAACUACGUGCCAGCAGCCGCGGUAAUACGUAGGGGGCAAGCGUUAUCCGGAUUUACUGGGUGUAAAGGGAGCGUAGACGGAAUGGCAAGUCUGAAGUGAAAUCCUGCGGCUUAACUGCAGAAUUGCUUUGGAAACUGUCAAUCUGGAGUGUUGGAGAGGUAAGCGGAAUUCCUGGUGUAGCGGUGAAAUGCGUAGAUAUCAGGAAGAACACCGGAGGCGAAGGCGGCUUACUGGACAAUAACUGACGUUGAGGCUCGAAAGCGUGGGAAGCAAACAGGAUUAGAUACCCUGGUAGUCC